GGGGCUAUAGCUCAGCUGGGAGAGCGCUUGACUGGCAGUCAAGAGGUCAGCGGUUCGAUCCCGCUUAGCUCCACCA
Molecule: transfer RNA, 76 nt
Filed under: Bacillota bacterium
Lineage: Bacteria; Bacillati; Bacillota
Also listed under: 4 other names
Description: tRNA-Ala
Rfam family: tRNA
About the family: Transfer RNA (tRNA) molecules are approximately 80 nucleotides in length.
Source: RNAcentral